Molecule: ribosomal RNA, 446 nt
Filed under: uncultured bacterium
Lineage: Bacteria
Description: bacterial SSU rRNA
Rfam family: Bacterial small subunit ribosomal RNA
Source: RNAcentral
UGCCAGACUCCUACGGGAGGCAGCAGUGGGGAAUAUUGCACAAUGGGGGGAACCCUGAUGCAGCAACGCCGCGUGGGUGAAGAAGUACUCCGGUAUGUAAAGCCCUGUCAGCAGGGAAGAAAAUGACGGUACCUGACCAAGAAGCCCCGGCUAACUACGUGCCAGCAGCCGCGGUAAUACGUAGGGGGCAAGCGUUAUCCGGAUUUACUGGGUGUAAAGGGAGCGUAGACGGCUGGCCAAGUCUGAAGUGAAAGCCCGGGGCUUAACCCCGGAACGGCUUCGGAAACUGGCCGGCUGGAGUGCUGGAGAGGCAGGCGGAAUUCCUGGUGUAGCGGUGAAAUGCGUAGAUAUCAGGAGGAACACCGGUGGCGAAGGCGGCCUGCUGGACAGUAACUGACGUUGAGGCUCGAAAGCGUGGGGAGCAAACAGGAUUAGAUACCCCUGUA